CGAUAUCGCUUCGUCAAGAAGCUUUACCAUGAGAGGUGACACCAGCAUAGCCGCGACGACGUUGGUCGCGCUGUUCUCGACGAGUCCGAGCGCGGCAAGGCAGCUGUAAAAUCGUCACAGGUCUUGCGUCACAGAACACUCGUUCGAGAGCGACAAUGUUGGUCUUACUCCGCGGUUAACACCAGCAGCACGUAAUCGAACGAAAGAUCACCACCGCUGCGAACUCCAUCGACCACCUGCUUCACCGUUAACUUCGACCUGAUCGACCCCACGAAAUCGUCCCAUGCAUUCUUACGAUCCUCCGCCUCCUUCCGUCUGAGGGACACAGAACGCGUGUCGGACUUGAAAUCGUGCUUGACAGAGUUGAAACUUUGGAAGCGAUUCAUGCGAACUACCAUGGCAAUCAAUGUGCUAAGGAAACCGACCGAGCGAACCUGCGAGCAACCUCGUCCUUGAUGACGGCCGACGAUCCUGCGCCGUUCACGCUGCUGUACGUGCAUUGCGUCGGGAUCACGCUGAAAGAAAUCAA
Harpegnathos saltator (Jerdon's jumping ant) is the source of this 529-nucleotide long non-coding RNA. RefSeq lists it as uncharacterized. The record is from RefSeq and is a predicted model, not a curated record. The transcript is spliced from 3 exons. NCBI's taxonomy places the organism in Eukaryota, Metazoa, Arthropoda, Insecta, Hymenoptera, Formicidae.